This 853-nucleotide ribosomal RNA is filed under the name Panagrolaimus paetzoldi. Its description in RNAcentral is "bacterial SSU rRNA". It matches the Rfam family "Eukaryotic small subunit ribosomal RNA", at positions 107 to 1001 of the family's 1831-position model. Lineage: Eukaryota; Metazoa; Nematoda; Chromadorea; Rhabditida; Panagrolaimidae. The record is from RNAcentral.
CAGCUAUAAUGUAUAUGAAUUUACUGAUAAAUGGAUAUCUGUGGUAAAUCUAGAGCUAAUACAUGCAUAAAAACCUUUUUGUUUUAACAAAUUGGUUAAAUUAUCGUUUCAAAACUAACGGGUUCGCCCUGUUUUGUUAACUCAUGAUAAUUAAUGACCGUUCUUUAAUGAAUGGAUAUUCAUAUUUGGUAUCUGCCCUAUCAACUAUAUGACAGUCUAUUGUACGGUCAUGGUUGUGCCGGGUAACGGAGAAUUAGGGUUCGUCUCCGGAGAGAAUGCCUUAGAAACGGCUUUCACUUCCAAGGAAGGCAGCAGGCGCGAAAAUUACCCAUUCUCAGAACGAGGAGGUAGUGACGUGAAAUGACAAGCUUUAAUUCUUACGAAUUGAAGCAUUGGAAUGGUUGAAUUUUAAAAUCAUUCAAGAUUAUCAAUGAGAGGGCAAGUCUGGUGCCAGCAGCCGCGGUAAUUCCAGCUCUCAUACUACAUUGAACUGCUGUUGCGGUUAAAAAGUUCGUAGUUGCAAAUGUACAUAUAAAUGUGGUUUAUCAUUUUAUUAUGGUAUAACUGCAUUUUGUGUUAUUUAUAUUUUCUUUACGGAAAAUAUAAUGAUACCCUGAGUAAAGCAAAGUGCUCAGAACAAGCUAUUGCUUGUAUGUUUUUGCUGGGAAUAUCAAACGAAUACAUUAGUUGACGUUUGUUGGUUUAACAGCUAUGUAAUGAUUAAUAGGGAUAAACGGGGGCAAACGUAUCGCAGGGGGAGAGGUGAAAUUCGUUGAUCCUUGCGAGACGGCCUAUAGCGAAAGCAUUUGCCAAGAAUGUUUUCUUUAAUCAAGAACGAAAGUCAGAGGUUCGA